Molecule: ribosomal RNA, 774 nt
Filed under: uncultured Neocallimastigales
Lineage: Eukaryota; Fungi; Neocallimastigomycota; Neocallimastigomycetes; Neocallimastigales
Description: partial large subunit ribosomal RNA
Rfam family: Eukaryotic large subunit ribosomal RNA
Source: RNAcentral
CGAGCACGCGCGUGUGGCAUAUCAAUAAGCGGAGGAAAAGAAACUAACAAGGAUUCCCUUAGUAACGGCGAGUGAAGCGGGAAGAGCUCAAAUUUGAAAUCUUCAAGGUUCUACCUUGACGAAUUGUAGUUUAUAGAAGUGUUUUCUGUUAGUAGAGUGGCAAAAGUUCUUUGGAAUAGGACAUCAUAGAGGGUGAGAAUCCCGUAUUUGGUCAUUCCUCCUAGCGUUGUGAUACACUUUCAACGAGUCGGAUUGUUUGGGAAUGCAGUCCAAAAUGGGUGGUAAAUUUCAUCUAAAGCUAAAUAUUGGCGAGAGACCGAUAGCGAACAAGUACCGUGAGGGAAAGAUGAAAAGAACUUUGAAAAGAGAGUUAAACAGUACGUGAAAUUGUCAAAAGGGAAGCGUUUGACACCAGUGUUGUUUUUCCGAAAAUCAAUUACGAAUGUUUUGUUUUUAAGAAGUUAUGACUUCAUCGGCUUGCUUCUCUCUUUACGAAACUUUCUUAAUGCACUUUUCGGUUAACAAGUCAACAUCAAUUUCUUUUGUUGUAAAAGGGUAUGAGGAAGGUGGCUUUCUUUUCGGAGAAAGUGUUUAUAGCCUUGUACCUCUACAAUCGGAGAGAUUGAGGUCUGCAGCGUAGAUCCUUCGGGGUUAGAUACGUUUGUGCUAAGUUAUAGCUUUUCAUAGACAACUUGUUGACUAUGUUUAGUCUUGUAGCUUACUCGCUGACGCUAUCUUACCUACGCUUAGGAUGUUGAACUCUAUCACACACAG